GAUGAACGCUGGCGGCGUGCUUAACACAUGCAAGUCGAACGGAAAGGCCUUGUGCUUGCACAAGGUACUCGAGUGGCGAACGGGUGAGUAACACGUGGGUGAUCUGCCCUGCACUGUGGGAUAAGCCCGGGAAACUGGGUCUAAUACCAUAUAGGACCACUUCUUGGAUGUUGUGGCGGAAAGCUUUUGCGGGGUGGGAUGAGCCUGCGGCCUAUCGGAGUGAUGGUGGGGUAAUGGCCUAACAAGGCGGCGACGGGUAUCCGGCCUGAGAGGGUGUACGGACACAUUGGGACUGAGAUACGGCCCAGACUACUACGGGAGGCAGCAGUGGGGAAUAUUGCACAAUGGGCGCAAGCCUGAUGCAGCGACGCCGCGUGGGGGAUGACGGCCUUCGGGUUGUAAACUCCUUUCGCUAUCGACGAAGCCACCUUGGGUGGUGACGGUAGGUAGAUAAGAAGCACCGGCUAACUACGUGCCAGCCGCCGCGGUAA
Molecule: ribosomal RNA, 491 nt
Filed under: uncultured bacterium
Lineage: Bacteria
Description: partial 16S ribosomal RNA
Rfam family: Bacterial small subunit ribosomal RNA
Source: RNAcentral